AAGUCGUAACAAGGUUUCCGUAGGUGAACCUGCGGAAGGAUCAUUAGAGUAUUUACCUGCUCUUUGUAUGCUCACACUGGGCCGCCUUCUCGUCACUGGGAUAGCGUGGCCCUUAAGACUGGUGGACUUUGAGCCACCGGUCGCUUUUCUUGAUACCUUAUUUCUUUUAUAUCAUUACUGAGACAAAAGUUAGCAUUAAUUGCUGAGACAACUUUUAGCAACGGAUCUCUAGGCUCUC
This 238-nucleotide unclassified non-coding RNA is filed under the name fungal sp. RNAcentral describes it as "partial internal transcribed spacer region". The stretch from base 1 to 46 matches the Rfam family "Eukaryotic small subunit ribosomal RNA", at positions 1786 to 1831 of the family's 1831-position model. Lineage: Eukaryota; Fungi. The record is from RNAcentral.